GACGAACGCUGGCGGCGUGCCUAAUACAUGCAAGUUGAGCGAUGAAGAUUGGUGCUUGCACCAAUUUGAAGAGCAGCGAACGGGUGAGUAACGCGUGGGGAAUCUGCCUUUGAGCGGGGGACAACAUUUGGAAACGAAUGCUAAUACCGCAUAACAACUUUAAACAUAAGUUUUAAGUUUGAAAGAUGCAAUUGCAUCACUCAAAGAUGAUCCCGCGUUGUAUUAGCUAGUUGGUGAGGUAAAGGCUCACCAAGGCGAUGAUACAUAGCCGACCUGAGAGGGUGAUCGGCACAUUGGGACUGAGACACGGCCCAAACUCCUACGGGAGGCAGCAGUAGGGAAUCUUCGGCAAUGGACGAAAGUCUGACCGAGCAACGCCGCGUGAGUGAAGAAGGUUUUCGGAUCGUAAAACUCUGUUGGUAGAGAAGAACGUUGGUGAGAGUGGAAAGCUCAUCAAGUGACGGUAACUACCCAGAAAGGGACGGCUAACUACGUG
RNAcentral lists this ribosomal RNA (496 nucleotides) under uncultured bacterium. RNAcentral's name for it is "partial 16S ribosomal RNA". It matches the Rfam family "Bacterial small subunit ribosomal RNA", at positions 28 to 507 of the family's 1533-position model. The record is from RNAcentral.